CUUGGGAAUAGCACCUUUAAAAAGCCAACAUGAACGGAGGAUUGGAAAGAGCGAAAGAGUAAUACAUCAGAAGUAGAUGUUUGCAGUGUGCUGAGUUUGACCAAAAUCAAAGCCGAAGCUGUCUAUUGGACGGGUAAAGUUUCUGCUACAAGGCGUUUUGGAAACCACAGAAGGGAAGAGCAUGACACCAGUUCUCCCCGAAAGAUCAAAGGGAGAUUCCGAUGCAGGUCUCCAGGCCGCUGAGUAAAGCGUCGCCUAACUUGCCCUCCAUUGAUCCCCAGGAUGUAAAGCUCUACUUGGCGUCUUGGACAGCGAGAUUGGCUGUGGGAAGCUUCCCUUCCGCUGUCUGGUGCUUAGAGGCCGGGCACAUAGAGACGUCUCUCUGAGCUCUUGACCUUUGUGGGUUUGGAAUAACAGGCAGGAAGAUGCCCCGAAGGGAGCAUUUGGAGAGAGAGAAGCAGGACCCCGGGAGGCGUCAAUGUCCUUGCCGUGGCACCAUCAUGUCUUUGCUCCAUGGAGAAGAGAUGAAAACGGGAGCCUCUUUGCUGCAAAGCCGAUGAGGCCAAGCUCCCAAAGCGAGAAGCAAAACAUAGGCAAGGAGCAGCAUCUCUCACCCCGGCAGGAUCCUGCUAGGAUCACGAUGGGAUGCACAUCAGCCGAGAUCGUCCACCUGGAGAGCUGUGACUCCAUGGCACCAACUGUGGGUGGCAGGCCCACUGGGUGAGCACCAGAGGAAAUGAAGAAGUGGAAUUCUCUCAUGGGACUUGUACAUUGAGUGCAAAUAAACAGAAGACAGUCAGUGCCAACACAUCUGAUGGUGGCACCUAAUGGGAAGUCCACAGGACCCCCUGCAGAGAUUCCUAGAGCUGCCCUAAUCCCUCCCUUUCCCGAGCACUGGUUUUUCUGAUUUUCUCAAUUUUUUAAUAAGUUAGAAGUCAUUCCUGUGGCUUGCAGAAUAGAACCUAAACUGACACUGGGUACCACCUUCUGGAAGAGAAGCAAUGGCCUUAAGAUUCUUCAGAAAGAGAGAGAUUUCCUGAGUAAUGGAUCUUUAACCCCUGAUCUAGUUUGGUGAAUAUGGACAGUUCAUGGUGACCUUAAUUCUUGAUUGUGGCAGGAAGCACCAGUAAGCUAUGCCACUCAGGAAGACCUGACCGGGUUCCGGUGGAGAAGCAUUUUAAUCCAGCCACAUGCUGAGGCUUGUGAAGGUUUUCCUUUUGGUUGACCAUAAAAAGAGCCCCAGUGGGAACAACAUCUUCCCAGGUCCCAAAAAUAUAAACAGGGGUCUCCCAGACUUCAAAUCCACCCUUUCAGACAUGGGUGUUUUCACGUCUCCGCAUCUGUGGCAAAGGGAAGGGGCUCAGAACUGGAAGUUACCAGACAGGAUUAUCUCCAGCUUGGCCAGUUGUUUGGUGAGAAUUGCUCUUGGGAAACUUCUCUUCCUUAUCUUUGGAGAAAGGCCAAGGUCAGAGGCAAAAACAAAGUCUGAUGCAGAUUGCUAUCUCCAUUUUCUUGGAACCAACCCUCUCGUUUUCCAAGGCUGGAAAAGAGGAAGAGAACAUCGCUGGAGGAAAGAGACAGAAAAGGGAAGGCGAGCUCAGCCCCCUCGCCAGCCUGGCUGUGCCGAGUUCCUGGAGCAUCACAGGACUCUGCUAGUGCUUGUGGGUUUCUGAUCCUCUUGCCCAUGUUUUGGGGAAAUUUUCUGUACUUUUAGCCAGACUCCAGGCUUGGUUUGGCAUCACCCAGGAUCCCAGAUCGGGAGUCCCAAUCCCUGCACCUCCUUCUUCCGCCUCAGGUCAUUACUCUUCCCCAGCCGCAGGCUAUGCAGUGAAUGAGCUUCUUAGAUCCAAUUUGUCUAGGACUCUGACACCCAUCAGCUCUUUUCAGGUUCCUUUUUAUGCUCUCCCGAUUUGUGCUUCCAGGAGCUAAAUUCUUGACCAUGGUCACUUCUUACCUAGACCCUUCCUACCCUAUUGAGCGCUCUGGUCUAAAUGAUCCUGCAGUUCCCAGGGUCCUGGAUCCACCCCAGACCUGACAUCAAUGUCUGAAGGAGACUUUUUC
This 2061-nucleotide long non-coding RNA is filed under the name Homo sapiens (human). Its description in RNAcentral is "non-protein coding lnc-RBM33-1:4". Lineage: Eukaryota; Metazoa; Chordata; Mammalia; Primates; Hominidae. The record is from RNAcentral.